GUUCCAGCUGGUCCUAAACUCCCGACCUCAGUCUUGCUCUGCUAUCCAGGAUGCAACGCAGUGGUGCAAUCCUAGCUAACAUAACUUCAAACUCCUGGGCUCAAGGGAUCCUCCACGUCAGCCCCCCAAAUAGCUAGGACUACAGGGGCCACUGUAGCUUCUUGUGUUGCAUGGCAACUAUCAACAAAAAGGUAUAAACAAAAGCAUAUUGCAUUGCUUUGGCAGGUAAGAUGGUCUUCCCUCCUAGGUCUAUUUCUGAUUCACUUUGGGGUGAAUUGGUUAUGAAUUGGGUGGGUAGGCAGAAUUUCUGCUAAAAAUCAUUUCCAAAUUGAAUGACUGUCUUAGGCUAUUUGGUUGUCUUCAUGUGUGAAGAAUCAUUAUCUAAAGGCUAUCAUGGGAAGAUUAUUCAUGCAUAGGCAAAUAUGCUUAUAUUCCACUCCAGAAUUAAAACAUUAAAGACUCUUAAAGAAUACAUAACAAUUUGUGUUGAAAAUGCUUUCUGGCUCUUAAGCUGAUAGUAAUAUAUUAUUUGUGGAUACGUCAGUAAUGCACAUGGACUACUAACUCUACUCAGAUGCCAGAGCUUCUCGUUGGAUUAAUUCUAGGCUGUAUGUAUCAUUGUUAAUAAUUAUGGAAGUAAAAACUAUCCUAUCAUCUACGUGGAUAUGAAUUAAAUGCAUCUGGCUGGAUAUGAGUUAAACUGUAAACCCAUGGUAGUGAAGGAAAUAGUAUACUCUGAAGUCUAAAAUAUAAAUGAGAUGGAGGCCUCCCCAGGGGUGAUUCAGCUGAGAACUUCAUCUCUGAUUUAUACCCUAACACUCUCCAUUUCACCACCAGAUAGGAAAUCUUGAUUGUUAGCUCUCCUGUUAGGAUUACUUAUAGAGGACACUUGGAGAAAUCCUUAUGUGAUUAUGAUAAUACCACCUGACUUUCCUUGGGAAGACAUUU
This 948-nucleotide long non-coding RNA is filed under the name Callithrix jacchus (white-tufted-ear marmoset). RNAcentral's name for it is "lncRNA (ENSCJAG00000072577.1)". Lineage: Eukaryota; Metazoa; Chordata; Mammalia; Primates; Cebidae. The record is from RNAcentral.